This 393-nucleotide ribosomal RNA is filed under the name uncultured bacterium. Its description in RNAcentral is "partial 16S ribosomal RNA". It matches the Rfam family "Bacterial small subunit ribosomal RNA", at positions 523 to 918 of the family's 1533-position model. The record is from RNAcentral.
AUACGGAAGGUCCGGGCGUUAUCCGGAUUUAUUGGGUUUAAAGGGAGCGCAGGCGGAGAUGCAAGCGUGACGUCAAAUUUCGGGGCUCAACCCCGUCUCGCGUCGCGAACUGCGUCCCUUGGUUGCGGGAAGGGGAGGCGGAACUCGUGGUGGAGCGGGGAAAUGCAUAGAUAUCACGAAGAACUCCGAUCGCGAAGGCAGCCUUCCGGCCCGUCAACGACGCUCAUGCUCGAAGGUGCGGGUAUCAAACAGGAUUAGAUACCCUGGUAGUCCGCACAGUAAACGAUGGACACCCGCGGUUUGGCCUAUAUGGCUGAGCCGCCAAGCGAAAGCGUUAAGUGUCCCACCUGGGGAGUACGCCGGCAACGGUGAAACUCAAAUGAAUUGGCGGGG